RNAcentral lists this ribosomal RNA (908 nucleotides) under uncultured bacterium. RNAcentral describes it as "bacterial SSU rRNA". It matches the Rfam family "Bacterial small subunit ribosomal RNA", at positions 619 to 1525 of the family's 1533-position model. The record is from RNAcentral.
AAUUGCUUUUAAAACUGCUAAUCUAGAGAUUGAAAGAGGAUAGAGGAAUUCCUAGUGUAGAGGUGAAAUUCGUAAAUAUUAGGAGGAACACCAGUGGCGAAGGCGUCUAUCUGGUUCAAAUCUGACGCUGAGGCGCGAAGGCGUGGGGAGCAAAUAGGAUUAGAUACCCUGGUAGUCCACGCUGUAAACGAUGAAUGUUAAAUAUGGGAAGUUUUACUUUCUGUAUUACAGCUAACGCGUUAAACAUUCCGCCUGGGGACUACGGUCGCAAGAUUAAAACUCAAAGGAAUUGACGGGGACCCGCACAAGCGGUGGAGCAUGUGGUUUAAUUCGAUGCAACGCGAAAAACCUUACCACUCCUUGACAUGGAAAUUAUACCUAUUCGAAGGGAUAGGGUCGGUUCGGCCGGGUUUCACACAGGUGUUGCAUGGCUGUCGUCAGCUCGUGUCGUGAGAUGUUGGGUUAAGUCCCGCAACGAGCGCAACCCUCAUCCUUAGUUACCAUCAGGUAAUGCUGGGGACUUUAAGGAAACUGCCAGUGAUAAACUGGAGGAAGGUGGGGAUGAUGUCAAGUCAUCAUGGCCCUUAUGGAGUGGGCUACACACGUGCUACGAUGGUGGCUACAAUGGGCUGCAAAGUCGCGAGGCUAAGCUAAUCCCUUAAAAGCCAUCUCAGUUCGGAUUGUACUCUGCAACUCGAGUGCAUGAAGUUGGAAUCGCUAGUAAUCGUGGAUCAGCACGCCACGGUGAAUACGUUCUCGGGUCUUGUACACACUGCCCGCCACGCCAUGGGAAUUGGUUUCACUCGAAGCUAACGACCUAACCGCAAGGAGGGAGUUAUUUAAAGUGGGAUCGGUGACUGGGGUGAAGUCGUAACAAGGUAGCAGUAGGGGAAUCUGCGGCUGGAUCA